GACUCCUGGCUCAAGAACGACGCUGGCGGCAGGCCUCAAACAUGCAAGUCUAGGGGGUGUAGCAAUACAUCACCGGCGGACGGGUGAGUAACGCGUGGGAACGUACCUUUUGGUUCGGAACAACACAGGGAAACUUGUGCUAAUACCGGAUAAGCCCUUACGGGGGAAAGAUUUAUCGCCGAAAGAUCGGCCCGCGUCUGAUUAGCUAGUUGGUGAGGUAACGGCUCACCAAGGCGACGAUCAGUAGCUGGUCUGAGAGGAUGAUCAGCCACAUUGGGACUGAGACACGGCCCAAACUCCUACGGGAGGCAGCAGUGGGGAAUAUUGGACAAUGGGCGCAAGCCUGAUCCAGCCAUGCCGCGUGAGUGAUGAAGGCCCUAGGGUUGUAAAGCUCUUUUGUGCGGGAAGAUAAUGACGGUACCGCAAGAAUAAGCCCCGGCUAACUUCGUG
Molecule: ribosomal RNA, 450 nt
Filed under: uncultured bacterium
Lineage: Bacteria
Description: bacterial SSU rRNA
Rfam family: Bacterial small subunit ribosomal RNA
Source: RNAcentral